UUAACAUCUAUUCCUCAUGGGAAUGUUUUAAGAAAAACUAAGCUGCAUGAGUGUCAGUUACUCUAUGAAGGACAAAAUCUGCUAAGAUUGCGAAGGUCAAAGAAGACACGGCCCCAUAAAGGGAAAAAGUGGAGAACUUUGCUGAGGAGCCAGAGACCAGCGGGCAGCUGACUACGCUGGAUGUGGAGCUGCAGCCACUGGCAGGAGAAGUCAAUGUCUCGCCCCCCUGCCGGAUGAUGCCCAGACCUGACCCAUCAUCCAUGUCAUCUCUACUGCCAUUCAUACUCGUUGAGCAAUUGGCUAGAAACCUUCCCAGCCCUCCUGCUAUUUGCCCCAGAUGCUUCAAUCUGGCAAUGCUGAGCUCUUUCUAUUCAGGCAGUGAAGUGGGAGCAAUCUCUUUCCUCAUCUCAAUCUUUAUAGAUCUAGGGCAGAAACGGGUAGUUUCCGUCUUGCAUUUCACAGCUUGGGAACUAUACUAGGCAACCUGGCCCUUGAGACAAACAGUCUUGAUUCUUCCUCCCCGGGGCAAUUGAUGUUAUUAACCCCUUUGAACUUCAAAUCCCUUCUCUGUAAAAUGACAAUAAUAAUACCUAACUCAAAAAGUUGUUUGGAUUAAAUGAAAGACAAUUACUGCAGAACAUCCGGCCCAGUGCGGCCUCACUGUCUAUUUACAAUGAAUGCUGCCAAUAUUAUUGAGGUUCUUGUUUGAAUUUUUAACUACCAAUUCACUAAAAAUCAAUUCGUGAAAUAAACACUUCGUGGAAUGACUAAAAUUUACAAACUGCAGUUUUUAGCAAUUUUAAUAAAAAUAUUUUAUUUUUGAUUACAUGUAAUCAAAUAAAUUCUUUUGUAUGUUCUUUUGUAUGUUGGCUUAACUAAGCUUGAUUGGUUACCUGAUAAAAUAAUUCUAAUCAAAUGCUAAAAUGAUGGUAAAUCAUAAGUUCAGUGAAAAUGGCAAUAUGAACUGCUUUUUCCAUCCUAAAUUUUGGCGUUCAGUAUGUGACUUUUGAUCUUUUCAGAUGCUUUGUAUGAAAUUAUUUUUUCCAAAUUUAAGCACAUUUAGAAUUAUUUUACCAAUUCCCCAAAUGGCAUGUCAGCCUUAAUUUACAUUUUUAGCAAGUGAUUUUUA
Molecule: long non-coding RNA, 1129 nt
Filed under: Equus caballus (horse)
Lineage: Eukaryota; Metazoa; Chordata; Mammalia; Perissodactyla; Equidae
Description: lncRNA (ENSECAG00000052907.1)
Source: RNAcentral